RNAcentral lists this ribosomal RNA (452 nucleotides) under uncultured Sediminibacterium sp. Its description in RNAcentral is "bacterial SSU rRNA". It matches the Rfam family "Bacterial small subunit ribosomal RNA", at positions 342 to 791 of the family's 1533-position model. Lineage: Bacteria; Pseudomonadati; Bacteroidota; Chitinophagia; Chitinophagales; Chitinophagaceae. The record is from RNAcentral.
CGGGGGGCAGCAGUAAGGAAUAUUGGUCAAUGGACGCAAGUCUGAACCAGCCAUGCCGCGUGAAGGAUUAAGGUCCUCUGGAUUGUAAACUUCUUUUAUUUGGGACGAAAAAGGGUCUUUCUAGAUCAACUGACGGUACCAGAUGAAUAAGCACCGGCUAACUCCGUGCCAGCAGCCGCGGUAAUACGGAGGGUGCAAGCGUUAUCCGGAUUCACUGGGUUUAAAGGGUGCGUAGGCGGGUAGGUAAGUCAGUGGUGAAAUCCUAGAGCUCAACUCUAGAACUGCCAUUGAUACUAUUUAUCUUGAAUAUUGUGGAGGUAAGCGGAAUAUGUCAUGUAGCGGUGAAAUGCUUAGAUAUGACAUAGAACACCUAUUGCGAAGGCAGCUUACUACGCAUAUAUUGACGCUGAGGCACGAAAGCGUGGGGAUCAAACAGGAUUAGAUACCCGAGU